GUUCGUCUGAAUCUGAGACACUCAGGUCUAAAUCCUGUUCUUAUUUCAUGAUCAUUAUGUGGUAAAGUUUUUCGUUUCAUCAUGUCUUUUCUUUGGCUGAAAGCGCAAAUCAUCUCCUUCUCCACCAGUUUCACCAUCUCCACUUCCACCUGUUUCACCAUCUCCACUUGGACCACUUCCACCUUGAAUGUCAGUAUUGUCAUUGACAUUUGAUGAUGUAUUUGUAGCCAUAUGAUUGUCUGUUGAAUGUUGAUCGUCAAUUGAGU
RNAcentral lists this long non-coding RNA (266 nucleotides) under Salvia miltiorrhiza (redroot sage). Its description in RNAcentral is "long non-coding RNA (SMIL_LNC011802)". Lineage: Eukaryota; Viridiplantae; Streptophyta; Magnoliopsida; Lamiales; Lamiaceae. The record is from RNAcentral.